This 905-nucleotide ribosomal RNA is filed under the name uncultured bacterium. RNAcentral describes it as "bacterial SSU rRNA". It matches the Rfam family "Archaeal small subunit ribosomal RNA", at positions 455 to 1358 of the family's 1478-position model. The record is from RNAcentral.
GUGUCAGCCGCGCGCGGUAAAACCAGCACCUCGAGUGGUCAGGAGGUUUAUUGGGCAUAAAGCAUCCGUAGCCGGUUGCAUAAGUUUUCGGUUAAAUCUAUGCGCUUAACGUAUAGGCCGCCGAAAAUACUGUGCAGCUAGGGAGUGGGAGAGGUACACGGUACUCGAUAGGAAGGGGUAAAAUCCUUUGAUCUAUUGAUGACCACCUGUGGCGAAGGCGGUGUACCAGAACACGUUCGACGGUGAGGGAUGAAAGCUGGGGGAGCAAACCGGAUUAGAUACCCGGGUAGUCCCAGCUGUAAACGAUGCAGACUCGGUGAUGCAUUGGCUUGUGGCCAAUGCAGUGCCGCAGGGAAGCCGUUAAGUCUGCCGCCUGGGAAGUACGUACGCAAGUAUGAAACUUAAAGGAAUUGGCGGGGGAGCACCACAAGGGGUGAAGCCUGCGGUUCAAUUGGAGUCAACGCCAGAAAUCUUACCUGGGGCGACAGCAGAAUGAAGGUCAAGCUGAAGACUUUACCAGACAAGCUGAGAGGUGGUGCAUGGCCGUCGCCAGCUCGUGCCGUGAGAUGUCCUGUUAAGUCAGGUAACGAGCGAGACCCCUGCGUCUAGUUGCUACCAUUACUCUCUGGAGUAGUGGAGCGAAUUAGACGGACCGCCACAGUUAAUGUGGAGGAAGGAAGGGGCCACGGCAGGUCAGUAUGCCCCGAAACCCUAGGGCUACACGCGGGCUGCAAUGGUAUUGACAAUGUGUUCCGAAUCCGAAAGGAGGAGGCAAUCAUUAAACGAUACCUCAGUUAUGACUGAGGGCUGUAACUCGCCCUCACGAAUAUGGAAUCCCUAGUAACCGCGCGUCACUACCGCGCGGUGAAUACGUCCCUGCUCCUUGCACACACCGCCCGUCAAAU